GUAUACAAUGAUGUAAUAGACUUUAGUCUAGUGAUUAAGAGCCAUGGGUGCAAAGUGAAUUACUUGAUAGUAGUGCUAUAAUUAACCGGCUAGAACUCGCUCUUACUGAGUGAGGAAAUCCGUCUUGAUAAAUCUACUGCAUACAUUCAACGGUUUCUGUUGAAUUAUCAGUUAUAAAAUACGUGAUUGAUAAUGAAUACGGACUAUAUGUAGUUACUAUGUAAACGUAGUAUAACGCGAUGUAAUACGCAAGGUUCGUUAAAAUCACUGAUUGUUUGUCUACGAUUUUGUUAAAACUUCGAAUGCCAGGAAUUUUUUCAAAAAGUACUACGACAUAUUAACCGAUUUUUAGCAAGAUGCAUUAUGAUUGCACGUUUCAAAGAUAUAUUAUGUAUUAGGUAAAGAAAAACGCGUUUUUACUUUCUGGUAAUAAAUAUAGCGAUUAUUUUAAAUAGUAAUAAAAAACAUUGACGCAAAUAAGGCAUAAUCAUUCCCUAUACUAUCGACGGUUUAAUUACUUCUUCUCUUCAAAUUUUUAUUAAUAAUUUUUGUACAUAUGUUCGGGUUAUUAUGUUAUAUAUAUAUAUAUGUUAUAUUAUACUAAUAUGACUAUUAACCAAUAAAAGUAACUGAUAUAUUUAAUUGAAAUAUGAUACACAGUAAGAUGCACGUGACUCUGACGCACUAUUUUUUAUCGGGUGACGUGUUCGUCUUAAUUCAUGAAUUAAAGUAAUUCAAAUAAAAAAGUAAGAGCAAAUAGAAAAUAUGAAAUCAUUACAUGUAAUUGACACUUCUCUAAUCACAGAGUUACUCGCCUUUCAAGUAUCAAAAAAAUAAUUUACGUUAUGCUAUUCACUAUGAGACCUUGACAGUCCCCUAAAACACGUGGAAUUACAUGCAUCGAGAUAUAAUAUAUGCGAAAUAUCUUAUGAAAAUGGAGAAACUGAUUGGAUUGGAUGAAACUAGUUAACACUAGUUGAAUCUUAUGCUGUUCUUUUUCUCGAAGCAAACGGAGUCAUAACAUUUCCAUAAUUUUUAUAAAUAUUAAAGUACAUGUAUAUUACGAUAAUGCAAAUGUAGAGACCGAUGUCGUAAAGCUACGUUUUAAAAUAGCACCCGAAUCUCGUGCCAAAUGAUUUGGAAUGUCAUCAGUAUUUGUAUUGUAACUGUACUCAUUAUACAAUACAGAUAUACAUCACAAUAUUAUGAGUGGGAAAAAAAAAAUAUUCACUAACUUUCUUUUAUUUCAAUAUGGAUGAAUGAAUGAAAUCUCGUAAACAAUCCAUUCUUCAGUUACAUAAAUCGACCUCAACGUAUCACCACCUUCU
Bombus huntii is the source of this 1328-nucleotide long non-coding RNA. RefSeq lists it as uncharacterized. The record is from RefSeq and is a predicted model, not a curated record. NCBI's taxonomy places the organism in Eukaryota, Metazoa, Arthropoda, Insecta, Hymenoptera, Apidae. The transcript has 2 exons.